CCCCUAGAUGUUCUGGGCCGCACGCGCGCUACACUGAACAGUUCAACAAGUCUUAACCUUGGCCGAAAGGUCUGGGUAAUCUCCAAAUUUCGUCGUGAUGGGGAUAGAUUAUUGCAAUUAUUAAUCUUCAACGAGGAAUGCCCAGUAAGCGCAAGUCAUCAGCUUGCGUUGAUUACGUCCCUGCCCUUUGUACACACCGUCCGUCGCACCUACCGAUUGAAUGGUCCGGUGAAAUCUCGGGACGGCGGCUUGGUCGCUUGCGUCCGACUGCUGAAACUUGAUUAAACCAUAUCAUUUAGAGGAAGGUGAAGUCGUAACA
RNAcentral lists this ribosomal RNA (319 nucleotides) under uncultured eukaryote. RNAcentral describes it as "partial 18S ribosomal RNA". It matches the Rfam family "Eukaryotic small subunit ribosomal RNA", at positions 1470 to 1796 of the family's 1831-position model. The record is from RNAcentral.